RNAcentral lists this ribosomal RNA (378 nucleotides) under uncultured bacterium. Its description in RNAcentral is "bacterial SSU rRNA". It matches the Rfam family "Bacterial small subunit ribosomal RNA", at positions 29 to 432 of the family's 1533-position model. The record is from RNAcentral.
AACGAACGCUGGCGGCAUGCCUAACACAUGCAAGUCGAACGAGACCUUCGGGUCUAGUGGCGCACGGGUGCGUAACGCGUGGGAAUCUGCCCUUAGGUACGGAAUAACAGUGAGAAAUUACUGCUAAUACCGUAUGAUGUCUUCGGACCAAAGAUUUAUCGCCUAGGGAUGAGCCCGCGUUGGAUUAGCUAGUUGGUGGGGUAAAGGCCUACCAAGGCAACGAUCUGUAACCGGCCUGAGAGGGCGGUCGGUCACACUGACACUGACAUACGGGUCAGACUCCUACGGGAGGCAGCAGUCGGGAAUUUUGGGUCAAUGGGCGAAAGCCUGACCCACGCAACGCCGCGUGAAGGAUGAAAUCCCUCGGGAUGUAAACUU